RNAcentral lists this non-coding RNA (169 nucleotides) under Staphylococcus aureus subsp. aureus NCTC 8325. RNAcentral's name for it is "Staphylococcus sRNA 35 (srn_0335)". It matches the Rfam family "Staphylococcus sRNA 35 (srn_0335)". Rfam says of the family: Other name: Srn_0335, SAOUHSCs258. Lineage: Bacteria; Bacillati; Bacillota; Bacilli; Caryophanales; Staphylococcaceae. The record is from Rfam by way of RNAcentral.
UAAAACUCAGUUAUUAGGGAGUGGGACAGAAAUGAUAUUUUCGUAAAAUUUAUUUCGUCGUCCCACCCCGGCAAGGUUGACUAGAAUUGAAAAAAGCUUGUUACAAGCGAAUUUUCGUUCAGUCAACUACUGCCAUUAUAACUUUGUAGAGCAUAGAACAUUGAUUUAU